CAGACUGUACUGCCCCACUACUUCAUGUUCAGAAUCUCUCCUAUGGCAAUUGCUCUGCAGACCUUUAGCUUGUAGGAGGUUGUGAUAUGCCUAUGGGCUAUUUACAUAGACAUAAACUCAAUCUUCUCUUAUCUUAAUGCUUGCUAUUGCUUUUUAGCCUCCAGCAGUUUGCCUCAGGCCUCAGACCCAGCUCUUUGAAAAUAUGGAAAUUCUUUACAGCCACUGCAUCAGCCAGUUUUGCCUCAGAUAAACUUUGCAUCUGAGAAAUGAUGAAGAAGAAAAAAACCAUGAUGCUAUCCCUCCUGCAUACUAGACAGUGAUCUAGAGAGGAAGUGCAAUACUGUGGUCAAAUACAAGGAAUUGGAAGCCAAACUUUCAGGAUUCAAAUCAUGGCUAAGUUUCAAAUCAACAAAUUACUUGGGGGAUCUUAAGAAAACUAACUUAGCCUUGUUGUGCCUCCAUUUAUUCAUCUGUAAAAUGCAGACGAUGAAGAGGAUGGUGAUGAUGGUGAUGAUGAAAGUUGAAAUUUGGACAUAGAGACAGACACACACAAAGGGAAGAUGAUGUGAGGAGCCCCAGGGAGAAGAUGGCCACCUGAUUGAUGGGAUGUAUUCUCAAGCCAAGAAAAUUCAGCAAUUGCCAACACACACCAGAAGCUGCAGGAGGCAAGGAGGGACUGACUCCUCUGUCUGACCAUCAGAGACAGCAUGGCCUGAUGACACCUUGAUUUUGUACUGAUAGCCUGCAAAAAUGC
Molecule: long non-coding RNA, 754 nt
Organism: Gorilla gorilla gorilla (western lowland gorilla)
Lineage: Eukaryota; Metazoa; Chordata; Mammalia; Primates; Hominidae
Exons: 4
Source: RefSeq, a predicted model, not a curated record